GGGGAUUUAGCUCAGCGGCAUAAGUACCUGCCUUGCAAGCAGGCGGUCCUAGUUCAAUCCCUG
This 63-nucleotide transfer RNA is filed under the name Cavia porcellus (domestic guinea pig). It matches the Rfam family "tRNA". From Rfam's summary of the family: Transfer RNA (tRNA) molecules are approximately 80 nucleotides in length. Their secondary structure includes four short double-helical elements and three loops (D, anti-codon, and T loops). Lineage: Eukaryota; Metazoa; Chordata; Mammalia; Rodentia; Caviidae. The record is from Rfam by way of RNAcentral.